UACGUAGGGUGCGAGCGUUGUCCGGAAUUAUUGGGCGUAAAGGGCUCGUAGGCGGUCUGUCACGUCGGGAGUGAAAACUCGGGGCUCAACCCCGAGCCUGCUUCCGAUACGGGCAGACUAGAGGUAUGCAGGGGAGAAUGGAAUUCCUGGUGUAGCGGUGAAAUGCGCAGAUAUCAGGAGGAACACCGGUGGCGAAGGCGGUUCUCUGGGCAUUACCUGACGCUGAGGCGCGAAAGCCAGGGGAGCAAACGGG
Molecule: ribosomal RNA, 253 nt
Filed under: uncultured bacterium
Lineage: Bacteria
Description: partial 16S ribosomal RNA
Rfam family: Bacterial small subunit ribosomal RNA
Source: RNAcentral